Molecule: long non-coding RNA, 301 nt
Filed under: Lathyrus oleraceus (garden pea)
Lineage: Eukaryota; Viridiplantae; Streptophyta; Magnoliopsida; Fabales; Fabaceae
Description: Pisum sativum (pea) long non-coding RNA (PSAT_LNC040342)
Source: RNAcentral
AAUGGCUUGGACAAACACCUGAAAAAGAAAAUCAACCUUUUGAAUCAACCAUAAGGAGCGACAAUGCAACCGAAAUAGAAACCGAUAGAACAACCCUACCUUUUGGAAUAUGUGUGUGGUAUAAAAAAGAAAUUGAUAGAACAAAUCAUCCUUUUGAAUUUAAUGUGUGUGAUAAAAAAGAAACUGAAAAACAAAAUCAACCUUUUGGAAUCAGUGUGUGGUGGUAUAAAACAUCAGAUGAAAAAGAGGCUCACAUUAUUGACAACUAUUGUGGAUCCCCAUCAUCAAUGGGGGAAGAUAA